RNAcentral lists this transfer RNA (237 nucleotides) under Pneumocystis jirovecii. RNAcentral describes it as "tRNA-Pseudo(TAT)". Lineage: Eukaryota; Fungi; Ascomycota; Pneumocystomycetes; Pneumocystales; Pneumocystaceae. The record is from RNAcentral.
AUUAAAAUAUUUAAAAUAUUCUAAAAAUUUAUUAUUUAUAAAAUUAUAUAAUGUAAAUGAUUUUAUAAAUUUUAUGUAUUUUAAUUAAAUAUAUUAAAAUUUAAAAAAUUAAUUUUUAAAAUAAAGUAUAUAUUAUUAAAAAUAUCUAUAGUAUAUAUUAUUCUUGAAUCACUAAAAAUAAUAUUUAUAUAACUUAUAAAGAAUUAUAAAUUUUAAUCAUUUUAAUAAUUAUUAAUA